UGCUUGCAUCAUGAUUUACAUUUGAGUGAGUGGCGAACUGGUGAGUAACACGUGGGAAACCUGCCCAGAAGCGGGGGAUAACACCUGGAAACAGAUGCUAAUACCGCAUAACAACUUGGACCGCAUGGUCCGAGUUUGAAAGAUGGCUUCGGCUAUCACUUUUGGAUGGUCCCGCGGCGUAUUAGCUAGAUGGUGGGGUAACGGCUCACCAUGGCAAUGAUACGUAGCCGACCUGAGAGGGUAAUCGGCCACAUUGGGACUGAGACACGGCCCAAACUCCUACGGGAGGCAGCAGUAGGGAAUCUUCCACAAUGGACGAAAGUCUGAUGGAGCAACGCCGCGUGAGUGAAGAAGGGUUUCGGCUCGUAAAACUCUGUUGUUAAAGAAGAACAUAUCUGAGAGUAACUGUUCAGGUAUUGACGGUAUUUAACCAGAAAGCCACGGCUAACUACGUGCCAGCAGCCGCGGUAAUACGUAGGUGGCAAGCGUUGUCCGGAUUUAUUGGGCGUAAAGCGAGCGCAGGCGGUUUUUUAAGUCUGAUGUGAAAGCCUUCGGCUCAACCGAAGAAGUGCAUCGGAAACUGGGAAACUUGAGUGCAGAAGAGGACAGUGGAACUCCAUGUGUAGCGGUGAAAUGCGUAGAUAUAUGGAAGAACACCAGUGGCGAAGGCGGCUGUCUGGUCUGUAACUGACGCUGAGGCUCGAAAGUAUGGGUAGCAAACAGGAUUAGAUACCCUGGUAGUCCAUACCGUAAACGAUGAAUGCUAAGUGUUGGAGGGUUUCCGCCCUUCAGUGCUGCAGCUAACGCAUUAAGCAUUCCGCCUGGGGAGUACGGCCGCAAGGCUGAAACUCAAAGGAAUUGACGGGGGCCCGCACAAGCGGUGGAACAUGUGGUUUAAUUCGAAGCUACGCGAAGAACCUUACCAGGUCUU
This 931-nucleotide ribosomal RNA is filed under the name Lactiplantibacillus plantarum. RNAcentral's name for it is "bacterial SSU rRNA". It matches the Rfam family "Bacterial small subunit ribosomal RNA", at positions 65 to 982 of the family's 1533-position model. Lineage: Bacteria; Bacillati; Bacillota; Bacilli; Lactobacillales; Lactobacillaceae. The record is from RNAcentral.